Molecule: ribosomal RNA, 495 nt
Filed under: uncultured bacterium
Lineage: Bacteria
Description: partial 16S ribosomal RNA
Rfam family: Bacterial small subunit ribosomal RNA
Source: RNAcentral
AUGAACGCUGGCGGCGUGCCUAAUACCUGCAAGUCGCGCGAACGGACGAGAAGCUUGCUUCUCUGAUGUUAGCGGCGGACGGGUGAGUAACACGUGGAUAACCUACCUAUAAGACUGGGAUAACUUCGGGAAACCGGAGCUAAUACCGGAUGAUAUUUUGAACCGCAUGGUUCAAAAGUGAAAGACGGUCUUGCUGCCACUUAUAGAUGGAUCCGCGCUGCAUUAGCUAGUUGGUAAGGUAACGGCUUACCAAGGCAACGAUGCAUAGCCGACCUGAGAGGGUGAUCGGCCACACUGGAACUGAGACACGGUCCAGACUCCUACGGGAGGCAGCAGUAGGGAAUCUUCCGCAAUGGGCGAAAGCCUGACGGAGCAACGCCGCGUGAGUGAUGAAGGUCUUCGGAUCGUAAAACUCUGUUAUUAGGGAAGAACAUAUGUGUAAGUAACUGUGCACAUCUUGACGGUACCUAAUCAGAAAGCCAUGGCUAACUACGU